RNAcentral lists this ribosomal RNA (497 nucleotides) under uncultured bacterium. Its description in RNAcentral is "partial 16S ribosomal RNA". It matches the Rfam family "Bacterial small subunit ribosomal RNA", at positions 28 to 507 of the family's 1533-position model. The record is from RNAcentral.
GAUGAACGCUGGCGGUGUGCCUAAUACAUGCAAGUCGAGCGAACGGACGAGAAGCUUGCUUCUCUGAUGUUAGCGGCGGACGGGUGAGUAACACGUGGAUAACCUACCUAUAAGACUGGGAUAACUUCGGGAAACCGGAGCUAAUACCGGAUAAUAUUUUGAACCGCAUGGUUCAACAGUAAAAGCCGGUCUUGCUGUCACUUAUAGAUGGAUCCGCGCUGCAUUAGCUAGUUGGUAAGGUAACGGCUUACCAAGGCAACGAUGCAUAGCCGACCUGAGAGGGUGAUCGGCCACACUGGAACUGAGACACGGUCCAGACUCCUACGGGAGGCAGCAGUAGGGAAUCUUCCGCAAUGGGCGAAAGCCUGACGGAGCAACGCCGCGUGAGUGAUGAAGGUCUUCGGAUCGUAAAACUCUGUUAUUAGGGAAGAACAUAUGUGUAAGUAACUGUGCACAUCUUGACGGUACCUAAUCAGAAAGCCACGGCUAACUACGUG